This 469-nucleotide long non-coding RNA is filed under the name Mus caroli (Ryukyu mouse). RNAcentral's name for it is "lncRNA (MGP_CAROLIEiJ_G0002923.1)". Lineage: Eukaryota; Metazoa; Chordata; Mammalia; Rodentia; Muridae. The record is from RNAcentral.
GAGAUGUUGUCUUUGGGCCACAUCUUAUUGCCCUCGGAACCAUUGAGGCUCAUUAAAAACAUGUGGAUGUGAUGGAGCCAGGGCUCCAUCACCCGUGACUUCGCAGGCUGGCCUGGGCUCUUGGACCUGGCCCAGGCUUCGCUGGCCAUGGCCCGCGCAGUCCCUUCUCAUGGCUUUGGAAACUUCACCUGCAGGUGGCACUCUUAUCUGGGUGAGAAACUAGCAUAUGGGAACCAUACUCAAGACAAGCAGCUCCGAGAAACCGCCAAGCACAGGGCUCUUCAAAUCAGGAAGGUAGUAGAUACCCCACUGGUCCCCUUUCCUCCUUAUGGGGGGCAGAUUCUCUAUCCCCAGGAGAGGAAGCUUUCAUUUGGCCAGUUACUCCAGUUUUGUUCAAAAUAAUUUAUUUACGAGCCUUACAAAAAUACAUUGGCAAGAGAAAAAAAAUAAAAGUCCUCUAGGAACAGGC